UUUUUUUUUUUUGAGAUGGAGUCUUGCUCCCUAGCCCAGGCUGGAGUGCAGUGGUGCGAUCAACGCUCACUGCAAGCUCCGCCUCCCAGGUUCACACCAUUCUCCUGCCUCAGCCUCUCGAGUAGCUGGGACUACAGGCGCCCGCCACCACACCGGGCUAAUUUUUUGUAUUUUUAGGAGAGACGAGAUUUCACCGUGUUAGCCAGCAUGCUCUCCAUCUCUUGACCUCGUGAUCCACCCUCCUCGGCCUCCCAAAGUGCUGGGAUUACAGGUGUCAGCCACCACGCCCGGCCGAGUGAACUCUUAUAUUACAUAAGAGUUCACUGAAAUUUGAGGUUUGGCAGCCCAGGUUUGCGCUAUUCAGUUACUUGGAGUCUGAAGUGUUGUUUUUGUUAGGUAACAAAUCGGAAGUACCCAAAACUGAAAGAGGUGGAUGAUGUGCUUGGUGGAGCAGCUGCCUGGGAGAAUGUUGACUCUACUGCAGAGCCGUGUCCCAAAUGUGAACAUCCUCGUGCUUACUUCAUGCAGCUUCAGACCCGCUCUGCAGAUGAGCCGAUGACCACCUUCUACAAGUGCUGCAAUGCUCAGUGUGGACACCGCUGGAGGGAUUAGGGCAGGAUGGCCCAGCUGCCUUAGUGUGUGCUUACCUUGUCCCUCGGGGUAGAUGCUUAGCUGGCAGUGUGAAUCCUGUGUCCUGAGGGUCUUUGCUGGUGUGGUGGAAAGAUAAACCUUUUGAGGUGAAAAGCUGGGGGGUCAGGAAAUAUGGCCUAUCUGCCAGGCAGGGUGGAUGAAGUCAUGAAUGUCU
This 805-nucleotide small RNA is filed under the name Pongo abelii (Sumatran orangutan). RNAcentral describes it as "retained intron". The record is from RNAcentral. Lineage: Eukaryota; Metazoa; Chordata; Mammalia; Primates; Hominidae.